UAAUACGUAGGGAGCGAGCGUUGUCCGGAUUUAUUGGGCGUAAAGAGCUCGUAGGCGGUUUGGUAAGUCGGGUGUGAAAGCUCCGGGCUCAACUCGGAGAGGUCACUCGAUACUGCCAUGACUGGAGUCCGGUAGGGGGGUGUGGAAUUCCCAGUGUAGCGGUGAAAUGCGCAGAUAUUGGGAGGAACACCAAUGGCGAAGGCAGCACCCUGGGCCGGUACUGACGCUGAGGAGCGAAAGCGUGGGGAGCAAACAGGAUUAGAUACCCUGGUAGUCCACGCCGUAAACGUUGGGCACUAGGUGUGGGUCUCUAUCAACGGGAUCCGUGCCGUAGCUAACGCAUUAAGUGCCCCGCCUGGGGAGUACGGCCGCAAGGCUA
This 379-nucleotide ribosomal RNA is filed under the name uncultured bacterium. Its description in RNAcentral is "bacterial SSU rRNA". It matches the Rfam family "Bacterial small subunit ribosomal RNA", at positions 521 to 896 of the family's 1533-position model. The record is from RNAcentral.